UUUCACUCACCAUCCCUAACAUCCUCAACGUCACUGUAGAACUGCUUGUUCCAAUUCCACAUGCUGCCUAUUUCCCCUUUUUAAUUAGGUUUUCAUUUCGGAACAAAAAAUGCUUAACUGAGACGUGUUUGGUUUCUUACUUCUCUAUUAAGUGUUUGUUUUUGUUGUGUUUGUGAUUUUCAGACAAUGAGAUGGAAUAAGCGAUGAAGAGGCAAUGUAAAAUUAAUUUGUAUGGAACUGCUUUUCCACUGAAGGAGGAGCUUGACAAGCAAAUAUUGUCUAGGUACCUGCUUUUGGAUUCGAUUAAUCUAUUGCAUAUUUUGGUAUAGUUUCUUAGAGUGUUUCGAAAUUUAAAGCGUUUCAGUAGUGAUAAUUUGACAUGAGUCCCUGUUUGUGUCGAUGGUUGCUGGUUAAUCCAUUCCUUGAUUUUCAGGCACAAAUCAUAUGCAUCUCUAUAUACGGGGCAUGGUGUAAGACCCGAGUUUUUAUUUGGUGUAUUUUGUUGAGAUGCAUGCUAUAUUUUUGUAAGAGUCGACUAUGGAUAGUUUGCUAAAUGAUAUAGACUCCAUAUACUUCUUGUUGGUCUAUGGUUUGUGACCGAUGAGCUUGAUUGCAAAUAUAUGUUAAGACUACAUGUUUCCUCUAAUUGCUAUAUGUAGUUGAUGGUGUGAGACUAAAUUUUUCCUUGGGAGGGCUGGAUGUGUAUAAAACACAAACAUUUUCUUUAAGUAAAGGAGAGAGAAAACAACAAGGAAGAAAGGAGUGAACGUGAGAGUUUUGGUGUGCAUUUGAGAGGCUGAGAAUCCAAGAGAAACAUGAGGCUUAAACCAACAAAGAAGGGACUGGGAAACUUAAGAGAAUCAGAGAACUUUGGCAGGAGAAAUUGGUAAGGGGAGCUGGCAGAAUCUUGUAUCCUGUGAUUUUUGGCAUGAUGAUUAUGAAUGAGUAUACAUAUUUGUGGUUGGAUGCGUUUCUGAUAUUGUUAUUACUAUCAUUAUGGACUUCUUUGAUGCAUUUUUUUUGCUAUACGUAUGAGUUGUAGAUGAUUUACAUGGUAAGCAUGUGUUGAUAUGUGUUUAAUAUGUGGAUGAUGGUUUGCAUGUAAAAGUUUAUUGUUGUAGUAAGACUUUAAUAAAAAUGGAAAUAGUACUCUAAGACAGCCAGAUGAGUUUGGCAAAGUAAAACUUUGGUAGAGGUCGCUGAAUUUGGUUGAAAGAUGAACUAAGUUGGAAGUAGUUUGUAGUGGUGCAAAUUCUGGAAAAUGUUUACAGAUGUUGGAGAGUUUUUCGGAAUGGUGCAAUAUAUCUUAUGAUGUAGUAACCUUUAGAUGGUUGUUCCAUUGCUUAAAAUUCCUAGAGAACUUUAUCUCAAAGGUUAGCAGAAAAAUUAAAAUGGAGAGGCAGAGUUAAUUGGCUGAACUUUUUAUGAGAAUUCAGCUUUCCGUUUGCUUGACUAGGUUCACUAUUUUGACUUAGUUAGAGUCCAGCUUGUUUUAAAUAAUUUGGGACAGUAGCUAGCACUAAAAUAGGAAGUGAUGAAGUUGGUUUUUCCUUACUGGAAUAAAGUUUACGUUGGGAGAAAUUCCUUGGUUGGAUGCAACGUUCCAGACUUUAUAGUUCGUGUAAAAGACGCAUGUUUUCCCUUGAUGUAGUGCUACUUUGAAGGUUAAUGUGAACUGCAAUUGGCUAGACCAGUGAGCUGGAAUUACUGCAGCGUUUUCCUCCUGGAUGGGACUUGAAUGAUGCUGGAACGUGACCAGAGCUGGUGUAGUUGCUACAUGAAUCAAAUGAAGCUAGUUUGGUUUGGUUUUGUUCAAUUGGUGCAAUGUUUCCUUUGCUGGACAGAAGUUUCUAGUGUUGCCACUCUUUCUUACGUCUAAAUAGAAAUAGGGUCAGUUUGGAUAAAAAAACAUAUAUAUGGCAGCAAGGAGGUCAAGUAAGCCGUUGUUUGGUGCCUUGUUUUUGGUGGAAUCAUUCUUUAUUUAGAUGAUGAAAUUAGAGAAAAUGUAAAUUAUGUUUUAGUGGGGUCAAGUGUUAGACUUUUGAAAGGUUUUCUUUAAAACAAAGCUUGCUAGACUUGAUUCAUGAGCCCAAACAGAAGCAACUUUUGGAGACCAUGCAGUGCAGCCUUUUUUGUUUGCUGCAGGAUAACCGUGAGCUGAAGGAGGGUUGGACCAUUUUUCUCACGUCAAGUUGACCAAGAGGAAGAUGUUAGAGCUACUAACAUUGAGAUACAGAGAUCAGAACAGCUACUGGAAUUUUUAGUUGGCACAAAACAACUCUCCCUUUUCUUUGAUCAAAACUAGUUUAACUACUAGACUCUUGUAGAGUUGGGGAGGUGCUUUCUAUCCAGAAUUUUCAUUGAGGCUUAAAACUAGAUUCUAAGAACUCUAGUUCUUUAGAAGAGUUAAAACAUGAUGAAGUUCAAGCUUUCUUGAACUGGACCGUUAGUUGGAAGGCACAAGGGUCUCUAGAAGGAACUGAACUUCGAGUAGGUGUUGUCUUUAGCUUAAGUGCUGCAGUAUUUUUGUUUCUUGAUUAUUUGAGAGCUGGAACAUGACUUUUAGGUGGUCUAUGGUGCAAAGAACCAAGUACCUUGAUCACAUGAGUUGAGCUAGUGGUGGAAUUUUCCUUUGUUGGCUGGUGCAGCUAUACUAGGAGGAAGUUCAUGCUGGUUUUCCAUGGUUGGUUCACGUUCUUGUCUUUCCUUUCUCUGGUUUUGUGGUGCAGCAUCAGAUUUGAGUUAUUUAAGCUAUGGUAAGACCUGUUUGGAGAAGAUUUUGAUCAUUAGAAAUAUGUGUCAUGGUAUAAGCAAAUUCACGUUAGUUUGGGUAGAUAGUGCAAUAGAAUUUUUUUGCAAUGUUUAAGUCAUAGAUAGAAUUGGCUAUAUUAUUCUAUUUGUUCACGUGAAAGUGGCAGAUUGUUGAUGCACUUUUUAUAUUUUCUUCCUAUAAAAUAAUAUGGCUGAAUGGUAAAUUCCUAUAGUCACUUUUUAUAUUUCAAUGGCCAUGACUAUACUUGUUUUAUGGUUCAUUAGAACAAAAUCUUAUACUUGUAGUCAUGGAGAUAAUUGUAAUCUUAUAUUUAAAUAUUCGAUACCGUUGACAUCUGCAAUGGUGGGAAAAAUGUUUUACAUGAUUUUAUAUAGCACCGAAAUGAAAUAGAUAUAUAGCUUAGUUUAUGAACGAAACACAACUUUUUUAAAAUAGAAAAACAUAUUUGACUCGUUUAAGAUUUGACGAGCAUUAUAAUUGAAAUGCUAUAGUUGAAGAUAAAUGCAUGGCAUGUAUGAACUAGGCUUAAUAUUUUUGAGCGACGUUAUUUCUAAUGAUUUGAGGCCUUUGAUUAUGAGUUUGGUAUCCAUGAUAAUAAGAAAUGCAAUCUUAACUGUUGCUGUUUUUUAUUAAUUGAGAUACGACGUGUUAUUGUUUUACUUCUGUCUCUCAAUAUCAUUGAUGUUAUUUGCAUAUCCCCAUGACUUGGAAACUUUUAGGCCUUCCGACAUGCAUCAUGGGAUGGAAGUUCGCCUUGGUCUAUCUUAGGGACCAAUGUACCCAAGUAUUAUAUAAUUAAAUUUUGAGUUUUACACUGGUACCCAAAAGUUGGCUUUUAUGGUAAAAUCAUCUUGUUAUUCUUUAAGAUGGAAGUGUCCAAGGAACCUACAUAUGCAAUCGUGGACUUAUGUUUUCCUUUGGGUUGGAUGCUAGAAAUGUUAUGGACUAUAUUAAACACAACAUGCCUUUUAGAGUAAAUGCAGAAUUUAUGCAUGAGGCGUUUGAGUUGAGUAUCCUUCUUUAAUUCUAAGUGUUAGUAACUUCUAGAAACUUGACUACAAUUUAGUAUUAUAUAUGUAGGUUAACGUAAUAUUUGGAUUGAAUAUAUAGUUUUAGGUUUAAUUGCUUCUUUUGUUCCGAGUUUGGUUGAAGUGUGUCAAAUUCGUCCCCCUUUUAGAAAAAUGUCAAUUUCGUCCUCAUAUAGAAAAAAUUUGUGUCAAUCAAGUCAUCUUCGUUAAAAAUCAUUGCUUUCAAAACUCACUUUAUCCACUACAAAAUCAGGGAUCAGACCCAUGAAGUGGUUAUUAUUCAAAACUCACUUUAAGUUUUUAACACCAUUAGUUUGUUUUUAACGGAGAUGACUUGAUUGACACAAAUUUUUUCUAUAUGAGGACGAAAUUGACAUUUUUCUAAAAAGGGGACGGAUUUGACACACUUCAACCAAACUGGGGACAAAAUAAGCAAUUAAACCUAUAGUUUUAUGUACAAAUAAUUUCUUAAAUAUUAUUGGACAAUUUAAUGUAUGAAAUGAUUUCCAUUUUAUUUGUUCAAUUGAAUUUGUUGAUUUCCAGGUUAAUUGAUUGGAUGAGAUCAUAAAACAGGAAAUAUCAUUUUAUAGAAAAAGACAACUUUUCUAUGACAUACAUGACAUUGCCUACCAUAGUAUGUAAAAUGUAAGCACGUAUAAAUCUUAUAAAAAAAAAACAAGUUAUAUGGCGUACAUGACAAUGAAUGUCAUAAUAGGUUAAUUGUGAAUAACACGUAUUAUGAACGAAUACCUUACCUAUCAUAAUACAUAGGAGAUAUUAUGAUAGGUGAAAAUAACUGUCAUAGAACUUGAGAUAUUAUGACAGGUAAACCGAAUUAUGUCAUGGUAAAUUAGAUAUAUUAUGAAUGAUAACUAAAAGUAUGUCUUAAUAAACGAGAUAUAUUAUGACAGGUGAUGGGAAGUACAUUAUAAUAUGUUUAACCUAUUAUGACGUACUUUUUCACUAUGCCAUAGAAUGAGUAAACCUUUUAUGAUUGUCAAAACUAUGAUAACAGAACACCUGUCAUAAUAUGUUUAUUUUACUUGUCAUAAUAUGUCUUUUUUGCAUUAGUUAUUUACUUAUUAUGACAUCCUUUUUUUGUCGGUUGCUCUUUAUUCUUUUUGUUUAUCAGAAUCACACUUUUCUACCUCACCUACAUGCAUUGUCAAAUUAUCUAGGAGGAUCUUGAUUCAACUCAUGUUGAAUAUAUCCUUCUCCCUAGUCAGUAGUCACUACUUAAAUAGUGUGUAAAUUGCAAUGUGUAAAUUUCCCCUUAUUGAACAAUGUGAACCUUGUUAACUCUAAACUACAAAGUAAAUUAAUUUGAACCUGUAAACGUUUGAAAUGUAUUAGAAGUUGCCUCUGUUAGCUCUAAUCCCAUAGGUGAUGGAUAAGAGCCUUCGAAAGUUAAUUGGACUGAAAAAAUUACCAAUUGUAUAAAAGUUCCCUAAAGCUUAUUAUUUCCUUUUAUCUUUAAAGGUGCAAUAGCUAAUUUAUAUGGUCAUUUUGUGUCUCUCUUCCUUCAAAAUUUUGCUUUUUAGUUAAUUUUUUUCUUAUCCUUCAUCUUGAUACCCUUUAUUUGCCUUUCACUCCUAUCUUUCUUAUAAUGUAUACAAUAAAGGAGUAUAAAAAUAUAUUUUGAUUAGUAAGAUAAAAUAGAAUAUGAUAAUAUGAAGGGUUUUUUAGGAGAUUCACUCGAUAAAUGCAAUACCAAUGAAACACAAAUUCAAUCUGCAUAAGGAAUUGAUACCACCUUAACCUAAAAUGUUAACACAAUGGGUUUUCCUUCCUUAGAAGUUUAUGGAAAUCUCUUUAGCUAGGUUGGGGGAAAUUAGAAGGAAAGCCAUGGUGAUGGUUGAAGGUUGGGGUGGUUGCGGAAAUAUGGUGGAAAAGAGACUAAGGCUCUUGGUCAUGUGAUGUUUAUGGAAGAUAGAGGUGGUGUUUAGUGAUGGUCUAAGAGAGGUUGGGCAAACUCUUGGAGGAAGGAGGCUAGAGGAGGUCACUUGGGUUGCUCUAGCCUAGGGUGACCUUAAUAGAGUAGUAUGACACAAAAAUGACAGCAUAACUUUACUCUUAAUCAAAGGUGAUUACAAGAGAGGAGACACUUCUAUAUAUAGGCAAGGGUGUCAUCUAAAAAUCCUAAAAGCAUGACCCCUCACUUUUGUACUCAUUGGCCAAAAAUGAGGCCUUCUAAGGAGUGGACAAGUGUCCACAAAUCCCCUCCAAUAAGGGGAGGACAUGUGGGCACUUAUAAAGCACAAUCCUCCCUAUUCCUAGAGUUCCAUGUGAUCACUACUAAAGUUAAAUCCUCUCCAAUGGAAACAUUACACAUGGCGCAUACUUUCCACAUGGUUUGAAUGUCUAGCUUAAGGAAAAUUUUUAUACUGAUUAGGCCUUAAAUACAAGCCUUAAACAAACCUACACUACUUGGCCAAAAUACAUGACCUAAAUAAAACUUAUACUACUCCAAGCUAUGCUCCAUGAUGGCCCCAAAGGUGGUCCAAAAGGUAGAGUUUAGACCAUCUUCAAGGAUGACUUCCACUCUUCUUGAAAGUGCUUGACCAUGGCUAAGAGAUUUGUCAUCACAAGUUGUCCAACUUUCUUAUCAUUAAUUAAUGUAAGAUUUAAACUUACUUGAACUUUCAACAAUCCUCCCUUAAAUAGUGAGUUCUUUUCACAUAGGUACACUCCACCUUGAUUGGAAGUCUUCCACAUUCCCAACUAGAGUACCUGAAUGGUGAACUUUUUAUAUUCCCAUUUUAUUAUAGCAAUAGGACACUUUUGUUUCAAAGGCUUAUCACGGAGGGACUUUCAAUUCAAGAAAUUCACAAAUUCAAGAUUUUUCAUUGAGUCAACCCAUGAGACUCGAAAUAAUGUGUUUGAGUUUACUUCUUUAUAAGUUAUUCAACUUUUUCAUUUUUACCCAAUAUGAGAGUUAGAUUCACAUCUAGAUUUUCAACAUAAAUUAAAUAUAGUAUUUUAAAAGUGGACAAGAUAGAAUGGUGUUAAGAAUAAUCCAAGUGAGUCUCAUAUUAGAUAGAAAUGACUAAGUUAAACAUCAUAUAAGAAGAAUACUUAUAAGUUCAUUGACUCAAAAUUUUGGGUUAAAAAUGAUGUCAAUAACUUAUGUGGAUUGGUAUUCAAAUGACAUAUAUCUAAUCUCCUCCAAAUGACCCUUAAAUAAGAAAAAAACAAACCUCAAAUAGUUACAAUUUAUUUGUACCACAUACUUCAUAAUGGUAGAUGCAAAUAUCUUCACUGUGGUUUCCACCGUAGUGUUCUGUAACUUUGUCCUCCAUGCCGUUCAUAUACAAAGUCCAGCUGAGGGAAGGUGUGAUAAAGUAUGUCUUCAACACAUUUCCAGUACCAUUUCCUCCAUGGCUUAUGGAAUAAGAGAGGAAAAACAAUAAUUCCAACCCCAGAAGUGAAUCCUACCUCAAAUGAUAUAAAAUUCCAAUGAAAGGAAAUUUUCACGCCAGCAUUGGAAUUUGAUACUUGAGAUGGUGUCACUUGCAUUCCAUCACCAACACUACAAUUUUCAGACAAUGGAGGUCCACACAGCCCAUCAUUGUCACUGAAUGAGUCUGCUGGAAAUGACUGAAUUUGGGUACCUGUUGGGAUUCUCCCCAUGAGAUGAUUGCAUGAUAGGUUCAAGAAUGAGAGAAAAGAUAAAUGUGCUAAUUGUGUUGGGAUUGACCCGCUCAAGUUGUUGUUUGACAGGUCUAAGGAUUCAAGAUCUUUCAUGUUUCCAAAAGAUGAAGGAAUUGAGCCAGAAAAGGUGUUGUGUGAUAGAUUAAGUAUGUGGACAGCGUUUAGUUGUCCAAGUCCUCCUGGGAUUAGUCCCUCAAAUUUGUUGCAUGACAAGUCAAUGACGGUGAAGAUGAUUAGGAUCUUUGCUAAAUACAUUCGUUGCCCUUUGCUUGUAACUGUAACUCUGUCAUUAUAAAAAACACUAUAAAUUUCUAGUACUUCAGAUUGAAGAUGACCUAGCUUUCUCUGAUCACUCUCAUCAGCUAUCAUUGCUUUCCAACUUCCAAAGAAUGCCAAUGGAAUUCUACCACCUAAGUUGUUUGAUGCAAGGUCAAAAAUUUGAAGCUGUGGCCAUGCUACCUCGGUUCUUUCACAUUUGAGGGAGCCAUUUAUUUUGUUGGAUCUCAAAAUAAGAACACGUAGGGUGGUCAUGUUCUCGAACCAACAAGGGAACUCAUCAUGUAUCUGGUUGUCUCCAAUGUCUAAAAUCUCCAUCAUGGCGCAAUUAGCCAGAUAUUUUGGAAGCUUUCCAUGCAGAGAAUUACCAUUUAGGUGUAGUGUUCUUAGCGAACACAAGCCAGGACAUGUGUCAAUAGUGCCACUGAGUUUGUUCCUCCCUAAAUCAAGUAUGCUAAUAGUUCCAUUCAUAGCAAUCAAGCAUUUUGGAAUUGUGCCAGUCAGAGAAUUAUUGGAGAGGUCAAGCACACGAAGAUUAGGAGCAUCGCAUAUUGAUUCUGGGAUGCUCCCUUGGAUAUUAUUGUUUGCAAUAGAGAGAAACCUAGCUUUUCUGAGGUAUUUGUCAAUUUUAGGUGGCAAAAAAGAGCUGAAAUUGUUGAAAAAUCUACAUAGUCAAACGAUUGGGGUAGUGUUGGAAGAGGUCCGUGGAGAAGAUUGGAAUGAAAAUCAAGGAUGGACAAAAGAGACAAAUUGUUGAACAUAGGUUCCUCCCAGUCAGUCAGGUAGUUAUACGAAAGAUCAAUAUUUUCUAGAGCAUUGUUGUUCCAAAGCCAGUGUGGUAUAGUGCCAGCAAUAUGGUUAUUUGACAGGUCAAUAGAUCUUAGUGAAUGAUUUUUCAAAAAUUGUGGAAAUUUUGUCAACUUGCAAGAAGCUAAGCCUAUGACUUUCAAACUAGGAAAUAAUGGAGACCGAGUGAGUGGAGUGGAUAUAUCAUUUAUUGUUAAGGUGUUGUUUGAAAUAUCAAGUGUGGUAAGGUUUUCCAGCUUGCCAAGCAAAUUGACCUCUAUGGUGCCACUGAAAUUAUUGGAAGACAAUGAAAGAGAUUCAAGAUUCGUUAGUUCAAACAAAGAUAUGGGAAAGGACCCUUCUAAAAGAUUGCCACUCAAAUCAAGCGAUUGUAAACUAUACGAGGUGUUUGUGAAAUCGAGUUGACCUUCAAAUUUAUUGUUGGAAAGAUGAAGAUAAUGCAAUGAUGGUAGUGUGAAGAUAGAUGAUGGAAUGGUUCCAGUGAAGAAAUUACUGUCUAAGUUUAGGUACUCUAAAUUUACGAGAUCUUGAAAGUUAACAAGCGAUAUUGUACCUGUGAAAGUGUUAUCAGUGAGGUAUAUGCUUUGGAGUUGUUUGCACAAAUGUAAAGCUGGAACUGAGCCAGAAAGGCGAUUCCCUGACAGAUCUAGAUCAACAAGUUGGGUGAGAUUUUGUAAUGAAUUGGGCAGUGUUCCACUAAAUUGGGAUGAAGAAAGAUCCAGAUUAGACAAGUUUCUUAAAUUUCCAAUUGAAUUUGGAAGUGGACCAGAGAAAUUUGUGUCACUUACGAACAUGGUGUGGAGAGAUCCAUUUGGCAGGAAGUGAUGAAAGAAACCAGAAAGAUCAUAAUUAUCUGAUAUAUCAAUAUAGGACAAUGUUGGUAUUUGAAAGAUCUUUUCUGGAAAAAUUCCAAUCAACUCGCAAUCAGUAAGCUUCAAGGAGGUAAGACUUUUGAAAUGGGCAAAUGUUUCUGGAACAGGACAUGCCAAGUUGUUAUAACUAAGAUCAAGGACUGAUAGAUUCUCAAGUCUUGCAAGGGAAGGAAGAAGUGGCCCUGAGAGAUAACAGCUAAGCAUGCUCAAUUCUUCAAGAGUUGGAAUUUGCAACAAAGCAGUCUGCCAUUCUUGUGCUCCACCUGAUACACUCACACCAUCUAGAUAAAGUUGUCUAAGUUUUGUGAGGUUUCUGACAAGUUCAAGGAGACUUGGGUUCUCAAGUUUCACUUCUUGUGCCUGUGAUGAAAGAUCAAGAGUGACCAAUUUUGUGAGUUGAGAAAUCUGUAUUGGAACUUGCCCCACAAAGCCAGCAUAUGCCAAGCUCAGAGUAGUUAAAUUCUCUAACUUGUUGAAUGCAGAUGGAAUCUCCGAGUUGAAGUUGUUGUAAGACAAAUUCAAAUUCUGGAGGUGGCGUAGACUGAAAAGGCUGCUUGAAUUGUCAAACCCACCAGCGAUUGAUUCUUCACUCAGGUCAAGACCAGUAACACGCCCCUCCUCGUCACAUGUUACACCUCUCCACUCACAACAAGCACUUCUUUGAUUCCAUGAGCUUAGUUUGUUGGAACUCUCAGGUUCAAAUGUAAGAUUGUUCUUCAAUUGCAAGAGCUGUGAUCUUUCAUCCUUAUUGCAUUGGUCAGAGACGAUGUGAACAACGAGACACGUCCAACAGUAGACAGUGAAGUAAAACCAUGAAACUAGUGAAAUUUUCAUUUGUUUCUAUGGUUGAAGAGGUUAGAAAAGCUGGUAGGGUGGGAAUGAAUGGUUAGUAGAUUCUAAAUGAGAACAAUCCCCUCAGCCAUAGAGAUUUCAAGUGAAUUAGAUGCUACCUCAGCUACAGAAUGUGUAAUUAUUAUAUAUGUUAACUAUCUUUUUAGCCGUGCAAUACACUGAACUUUUUAUAGUCAAUACCCGUCAAUACCCGGAACACUUUUGUAGUCAAUAUCCGUGUCAUACCCGAAACCUUUUAUAGUCAAUAUUCGUGUCAUACCCGAAACCUUUUAUAGUCAAUAUCCGAAUCAUACGGAAAUGUGUUGUUUCUUUAAUUCUACAAUUUUUUUAGUGGAAAGAUGUAAAAUUGUAGAAAUUUUAAUAAUUUAAAAAAUAUAUAAAUUUAAUUAAAUUUUUUAAGUUGAAAGAUAAAAUUCACUAGAAUAAAAUACUAUUAGAGAUAGAUAUUAAUUUAUAGUUUGAAAUAUUUUUAUAUUAUAUUUUCUUUAAAUAUAUCAGGUUUACAAAUAUAUAGGAGGAUAAGGUUUAAGGUCAGAAUUUUAAUAAAACCAAUGACAAGUCAGAGAGAGAAGAAAGAAAGUUUUAGAAGUUAAGUUUUAAGGGGAAGAAGGAAAAAGUGAAAAGUAAGAAGUAAGGGGAGUUUACAUUUUUUUUUUCUUUAUUUAUCCUUUUGCAUGUUUGUGUUUUGAUUCGGCAGAAGGUAGUGAAGGAUAGCGUACAGUUGUAACUUGUACCGCAGGUGUAUUUUGCUAAUUGUGGAGGAGUCGUCGCAGGUGAGGAAGAAAAAAAAACUCAUGCCAUCGGAUGAAGGUGUUCAAAACACGGUUUCUAUAUGAAAACAAUUAGUGAAUACAAAAGAAAACCAUACCCAGGGCAUCUAAACAACAUGAACUUGUGUUAAAUAAAAGAAAACUUACCUUUAGUGUUGGUCUCACAAGUCGCUACAAGUGUUGGGAGGCUUGAGAAGAGAAAGUGUGAAGAAAUAGUGAAAGGGAAAUACUCUCGCACUAUUUUCUUUAAUUCUUUAAACAACAGAUGACAUCAGAUUGUAUAAGGCUUGACAUCAUAUACAUUUUAGACAUUGAAUUCUGUGAGAGAUCUUAUGUUUCAUGAGUACGUGAAAAUGACUUUCACAUUGCAUUUUUUAAUGUUUUAAACCCAUUAGGUGUCACCCCUAACAAAAUCUAUUUUUAAAGAUCAUAUGACGUUAGUAUCCCUCCAAAUAGAUGUCUAAAGGUGAUAUGACGUUGAUCCCCUUUAGUGUCGGACGCCAAACUUUUAUUUUAUUUAUAAAAAAAGCCACCAAUAAUUUUUAACGUUAAUUUUUCUCUUGGUUGAUGUUGAAUGAGAGAUGUUAUACGUCCAUUUUGCAAUACUAUUUAUAUACAAAGUUUGAGUACUUUUUUUUUUUUUAAAAUAAACUUUGUAUAAUAUGAAUGUUACUUCAUCAAUUUUAUUUAUAUAUCAUUAGACGAUAUAUGAUGGCAACCUCCUUGGCUAGGUUGAGUCAAAGCUAGGAGAUGUGCAUGUAUGGGUGUUUCCUUGGAUGAAUGGUGUGGAAAUGUGAUGGUAAAUUGUCCAAGGAUGAUGAGAUAAGGUAUGGAUGGGGUAGAAGCUCAAAUCCUCUGGGAUAUAUGGUGGUGGUGGUGUAGUGUUUGGUGGCUUCAAGAGAGGUUGCUAUCAAUAUAGCAUGAUUGCAUUUAGCAAGACUCUCAUUAGUACAUUGACACGUUCAAUACUACACCGACUUAUGUACUAGCACGUUUACUAUGGCUUUUUCAUAAACGGGUUAUUCAUAACUCAUUUUCAUUUAACGAUGUGAUUUUCAUAAAGAUAACACUUUGUCAAGUAUCUUUUUGCUUAACGUUGCUCAUUAGUCCUCAAGACAUGUGAAGUUGCUAAACGAUCUUGACCUUUCUCUUAGCAAACUUUCUCUCUUCUUAUAGUACUAAUUAGUUGUGUUAUAGCUAAUGUUUUGUAUUAUAUCUCUUCUCAACAGUGAAGUUUCGUCCUUUAAACAAUAUAUGUUGUGAGUCUUACUUGAUCGACUCUUAUGCUCAGUGUUUUGCUAGUUUUACUUGGAUAUUCUUGUACCUGUUGUUUUGUGAUUGUAUGUUUUUAGACAUAUUAUGUGUAGACUUUUUCUAUGCUCCUAUAUUAUUUCAGCUUAUCUCUUUUGUCAUUUAACACCUAAUUUAGCUUUAGAAGUAACCUUGAUUAGGCUUAUUGCAUAAAUGCUUCUAAUCUAGAUGUUUUUCUUUGUGACAUAUUUUUUGUGCUAGGUGGGUAACUAGAUGGUUUUAGUAUUUAGAGGUUUUAUCUUUUAUAAUCAUAAGAGACUGUAAUUUAUUCUCUAUGUCUAUGCUCUUUUAUAUUUUUAGAAAUUUGAUUACCCAA
This 12656-nucleotide long non-coding RNA is filed under the name Vigna radiata. RNAcentral's name for it is "long non-coding RNA (VRAD_LNC009023)". Lineage: Eukaryota; Viridiplantae; Streptophyta; Magnoliopsida; Fabales; Fabaceae. The record is from RNAcentral.